This 595-nucleotide ribosomal RNA is filed under the name uncultured euryarchaeote. RNAcentral describes it as "bacterial SSU rRNA". It matches the Rfam family "Archaeal small subunit ribosomal RNA", at positions 369 to 1478 of the family's 1478-position model. Lineage: Archaea; Methanobacteriati; Methanobacteriota. The record is from RNAcentral.
GACAGGGGGAUCCCAAGUGCUCAUGCAUUGCAUGGGCUGUUCUUUGGCCUAAGUAACCAGAGGAGUAAGGGCUGGGCAAGACCGGUGCCUGCCGCCGCGGUAAUACCGGCAGCUCAAGUGGUAGCCGCGAUUAUUGGGCCUAAAACGUUCGUAGCCGGAUAAGUAAGUCUUUGGUUAAAUCCUGCGACUUAACCGUGGGAAAUCUAGAGAUACUGCUUGUCUUGAGACCGGGAGAGGUUGGAGGUACUCCCAGGGUAGGGGUGAAAUCCUGUAAUCCUGGGGGGACCACCUGUGGCGAAGGCGUCCAACUGGAACGGGUCUGACGGUGAGGGACGAAACCUAGGGGAGCGAGCCGGAUUAGAUACCCGGGUAGUCCUAGGCGUAAACGAUGUGGACUUGGUGUUGGGAUGGCCUCGAGCUGCCCCAGUGCCGAAGGGAAGCUGUUAAGUCCACCGCCUGGGAAGUACGGUCGCAAGACUGAAACUUAAAGGAAUUGGCGGGGGAAAGGGCGAAUUCGUUUAAACCUGCACGACUAGUCCCUUUAGUGAGGGUUAAUUCUGAGCUUGGCGUAAUCAUGGUCAUAGCUGUUUCCUGA